AUUUUGCUGGAUAUCUCUUUGUCCCUUAGGCUUUCUGAAGGCGUUCUGUGAUGCAGCAUUAUACCACGGUGAAUGGGAAUAAAGAAAACAACAAUCUCCAGGCUCACAGGAGAUGGCAGGAGCUCCCAGCAGGGAGGAAGAGGUGUAAGCACACAGUGUCAGCCUCGUGCUUCUCUUCCCAGGUCCAAUGAGGACUGAAGCAAGCACAGGCAAUGCUGAUGCAGUGGGGAAUUCAGCUCCCACGCACCGGAAGGUUUGGAAGCAUCAAGCUCUAUUUUAACACUAAGUGCAUUACAGCAAAAGCCAAUUCAAUAUUAAGAAUAAGUGCUUUGUAGUGUAUAUACCUUUCAAUACACUUCAUAAUGACCUAGAAGAUGAAUUGAACGAUGAGGUGGUGAAACUAAGCAAGAACCCAUGGAAGACUGCGAGGAUAUCUGGAAGGAUUUAAUAAAGCUGGAUGAUAAAUACAUGGAAAUCAUGCAAAUGCACUGGGGGGGGGAAGUAGUUGCUCAUGUGUACUGAUGAAUUCUGAAUUAGCUGCAACUUCUCAAAUGAAAAGACUUGGUGUUGUGGGUAGCACAAGGCCUAAUAUCUGAUGCAGAAGAAAGCAGUGAGAGCCUGGAGCACAUUAAUAAUAGGUGGAAGACUGAAUUUUGCCCAGUGCAUCUUCCUGAAGCCACUAAAAUAUAACAAAUGUUGCAUUUAAUUCAAGUAAGAGAAAUUGCUCAUGACUAAACUUCCUAAGAUUAGUACCAGUUUCACAACCUAAAUGGGUAGCGAGUUGGGCUGGUCACAGUAGAAAACCUCUUUAGUAACUUAGAGAAAAGAAUAGCCAUUGGGAAAAUUGUUUAGUAGAGAUUUUUUGUCUUCAUUGCCAAAAUCAGUUAUGAUUUGGUCCCCUUGCAUUAGAGGGGGAAAAAAGUGUGUGAAACUAUCCUUUAUGUUGACUGGAGAAGAAUCAACCCCAAAGUUUCUGUUUAUGUACAUGUAUGUAAAGAGAGCAGGAAGGCUGGCCUCAGUAAGAGAUUAAAAUGAAAGGAUUAAAAUGCCAUUGGACAGAAAUAAGUAUGAAUUCAUGGGUUUCAAAUGCAUGAAUGAUAAUAAUGGAGUGUUUACCUCUGUUGCCUAGGAAAACCAUGCAUGUUUACUGUAUCAAUGUUUGCAUCUUAAAUUCAUUUAUGAUGCUGUGCCAUUCUGUUUUAUAACAGUUGAUGAUAUUUAUCUUUGAGAUGAAAGCUUUGCCCUGCAGAGACUCACCAUCAGACACUAUUUAGUACUUGCAGAACAUGAGACUUGGAGCAGGUGUGGCUGCUUUUUGGGUGUCACUCCUGCAAUCAAGUGGAGACAAACGUGACUGUGUCUCAGAGGCAGUACCUGCAGUGCUGGUUGGGAGCAGUAACCAGAAGCUAGAAGGGGAAUGUGUGCCUUUUGGGCACCAAAAUAGUUCAUUAUAACUUUGACUCUUCAUAAAUAUAGGUGUGGAAUUCACCUCUGUGCAAAGGAUUAGCCAAGACUCCUCACAGGAGCAAAAUUCACCCUGAAGCAGUGUGUCAUUAAGCUGUAGAACUAAAAAUAUAUCACAGAACCGUAAUGAAUUUAGGCUUUCCCUGUAGGUAAGAGUAUACUACUGCCCUGGUGCAGAUAGGUUAAUUAUUAUUUAGUGGGGUAAUUGUCAUCUGAAAGGUCAUAUUUCAUAGCACAAAGAAACCUUGGAAAUGAAACUAAGAUUCCUUACUCCCAAUAUUUGUUUCUACAUAAUAUGUAUUUGUUGUUCUGGUUUUGGUACUGGAGUAAAAGUAUUUGGUGUACAAGGAUGAAUAUUGUUGGGUGCGUGCUGCAUGGACACACCUUUAGAGUAUUUCCAGUAGCAACAACCGGACAGGCACUUUGUAUUUGUUUCACUUUCAGGAUGCUUGGCUUGUCUUUAACAGCCAUCUAUUUGUUUAAAAAAAAACAAAACCUCUCUUUGAAGCAAAAAAAAUACUAUUUUCAGAUAGAGGGUCUAAAUGUCACGUUUUGAAAGCAGCACAUUCUGAAUUCUUUCUCCCCACUUCUGGCAGAACUGCUUCAGUCACUCGUGCCAAAACUGUGUGUUACAGCAAAUUUAUUAGAUGUUAAAAACUGAUAUUAGCCCAAUUUUAGCUUGCACUGAAAUAACAGAGGUUCCCCAGCUUUCUCUUUCUGGUUAUUUGUUUGGUAUCCUGAGCUCCCUACUACUGCCCAGACAGCUCUACUCAAGAAGUGAAGUCCCAGUGAAACAAGUUAUGUCUUGUCUAAUCACUGAGAUAAUAAUGUAUAUGAAGGCCUUUGUAAAUGUCUGUAUGUGCUAUACAGUAGAUAUGCUGGUUCUUUGGGAAGCUAAAAACCAUGUUCUUCCAGGACCAAUGAGAACUGGUCCAAAGAUGCUGGAUCUCAGUAGCCAGGUGGCCCGUGGCCUCUGGCUUGGGCUCUUUGCACCUCUUGAUCAUGAGCUGUCUAGAGAUGUCUGUGAAAUAAAGUUUGU
Molecule: long non-coding RNA, 2503 nt
Filed under: Gallus gallus (chicken)
Lineage: Eukaryota; Metazoa; Chordata; Aves; Galliformes; Phasianidae
Description: lncRNA (ENSGALG00010022133.1)
Source: RNAcentral